Molecule: long non-coding RNA, 345 nt
Organism: Python bivittatus (Burmese python)
Lineage: Eukaryota; Metazoa; Chordata; Lepidosauria; Squamata; Pythonidae
Source: RefSeq, a predicted model, not a curated record
CCUUUUGUGCAGGCAGGAAGGUGUAAAGUAGCAUGAGCGGAACGGGUCGAUAACCGUUGGGAAGCUAGAAAUCUUAUUUGGUCUGUCAAGGACGUUGGAAAACCUGAGGAAAUACAGGUCAGGAGUGUCUCCAUCUCCAGAUCUGUACAAGUGGGAAGCAAAUCUGGCCGCAACAGAAGACGUAAUGAUCCUCAAAUGGUCUGCGCUCCCAGUAAUCAGCAGCAUGAAAGAAGUUCUCCCAAGUGAAAGGUUGGAUGUGAAACAGUGCAAGCAAUUUAGAGAUGCUGAAACUUGAUGCCCUGGACUCUAUUAUUAUCAAAACUGUACAUCUGUGUAUAUUUACUG